CCUACGGGUGGCAGCAGUGAGGAAUAUUGGUCAAUGGCCGCGGGCCUGAACCAGCCAAGUCGCGUGAAGGAUGACUGCCCUACGGAUUGUAAACUUCUUUUAUCAAGGAAUAAAGUGCGGCACGUGUUCCUUUUUGUAUGUACUUGAUGAAUAAGGAUCGGCUAACUCCGUGCCAGCAGCCGCGGUAAUACGGAGGAUCCGAGCGUUAUCCGGAUUUAUUGGGUUUAAAGGGAGAGUAGAUGGGUUGUUAAGUCAGUUGUGAAAGUUUGCGGCUCAACCGUAAAAUUGCAAUUGAUACUGGCAGCCUUGAGUACAGGUGAGGUAGGCGGAAUGCGUGGUGUAGCGGUGAAAUGCUUAGAUAUCACGAAGAACUCCGAUUGCGAAGGCAGCCUACUAACGUUCAACUGACAUUGAUGCUCGAAAGUGUGGGUAUCAAACAGGAUUAGAUACCCGGGUAGUC
Molecule: ribosomal RNA, 460 nt
Filed under: uncultured bacterium
Lineage: Bacteria
Description: partial 16S ribosomal RNA
Rfam family: Bacterial small subunit ribosomal RNA
Source: RNAcentral